UGGCCGUCGUCACCUCGUGUCGUGAGAUGUUGGGUUAAGUCCCGCAACGAGCGCAACCCUUGUCAUUAGUUGCUACGAAAGGGCACUCUAAUGAGACUGCCGGUGACAAACCGGAGGAAGGUGGGGAUGACGUCAGGUCAUCAUGGCCCUUAUGGGUAGGGCUACACACGUCAUACAAUGGCCGGUACAGAGGGCUGCCAACCCGCGAGGGGGAGCUAAUCCCAGAAAACCGGUCGUAGUCCGGAUCGUAGUCUGCAACUCGACUGCGUGAAGUCGGAAUCGCUAGUAAUCGCGGAUCAG
Molecule: ribosomal RNA, 300 nt
Filed under: Pelomonas sp. Expt1_251B3_P2WS_D04
Lineage: Bacteria; Pseudomonadati; Pseudomonadota; Betaproteobacteria; Burkholderiales; Sphaerotilaceae
Description: bacterial SSU rRNA
Rfam family: Bacterial small subunit ribosomal RNA
Source: RNAcentral